CUUUAGUAGAAUGCAUCAAUGAAAAACAAGCACUGAGACACCAUAAAAUAGAAUAAGGGCUGCUUUUCAAAAGAAUACUCUGUGCAUGUAGGUAAUGCAUAGUAUUUACCCAAGACUGAGCAGUGACCCAGCAGUGAAAGCUGGUGCAAUUUAGUGCCCUACCAAUGUGCCCCAUGAUAAGCACAGCUGACAAGUGUUCCACUGCAUAAUAUUGGUCCAAGACUCAGACUUCUUCCAGUUGAAUUAUUUCUGAGAAUUCCAUCACAGUGAGCAAAAAGAAAUUAUCUUCAGAUAAAUAAUGGAUAUUGAGUCUGUGCCAGGCAGUCCGUUGGGAUCUGGGGCUCUGUGGCCUGACAACAGAGCUCAGUGAUUCAUCGCUUUUUAUGGCACCACAACAAGCUGCUGUAGAUUUGUUUGUGAUCCAUUUCAGCUUUCUGUUGA
RNAcentral lists this long non-coding RNA (441 nucleotides) under Phasianus colchicus (ring-necked pheasant). RNAcentral describes it as "lncRNA (ENSPCLG00000015870.1)". The record is from RNAcentral. Lineage: Eukaryota; Metazoa; Chordata; Aves; Galliformes; Phasianidae.